UGAAUACGAGACGCUAAGGCGUCGAAGUAGUGUAUGUCAUACUUCCAAGAAAAGCUUGCACUGUCAUAGAUAAAAAACGCCUGUACCAUAACCGACACAGGUGGGUAGGUAGAGUAUACUAAGGGGCGCGAGAUAACUCUCUCUAAGGAACUCGGCAAAAUAACUCCGUAACUUCGGGAGAAGGAGUGCCUUAUUCGUAAGGUUGCAAUAACAAGAUCCAAGCAACUGUUUAUCAAAAACACAGGUCUCCGCUAAGUCGUAAGACGAUGUAUGGGGGCUGACGCCUGCCCAGUGCCAGAAGGUUAAAGAAGUUGGUUAGCAAUUGCGAAGCUGAUAACUGAAGCCCUGGUGAACGGCGGCCGUAACGAUAACGGUCCUAAGGUAGCGAAAUUCCUUGUCGGGUAAGUUCCGACCCGCACGAAAGGCGUAAUGAUUUGGAUACUGUCUCGGAGAGGGGCUCGGUGAAAUAGACUUGUCUGUGAAGAUGCGGACUACCUGCACCAGGACAGAAAGACCCUAUGAAGCUUUACUGUAACUUGAAAUUGAAAUUGGACUUUAUUCGCGCAGUAUAGGUGGGAGGCGUUGAUUAUAAUCUUGUGGGAUUAUUGGAGCCAUCAGUGAGAUACCACUCUUGUAAUGUUAGAUUUCUAACUUUGAAUCAUUAUCUGGUCAAAGAACAGUUUCAGGCGGGCAGUUUGACUGGGGCGGUCGCCUCCUAAACGGUAACGGAGGCGUACAAAGGUUUCCUCUGAACGGUUAGAAAUCGUAUCUAGAGUGUAAAGGCAUAAGGAAGCUUGACUGUGAGACCUACAAGUCGAGCAGGGACGAAAGUCGGUCUUAGUGAUCUGACGGUACUGAGUGGAAAGGCCGUCACUCAACGGAUAAAAGUUACUCUAGGAUAACAGGCUGAUCUCCCCCAAGAGUUCACAUCGACGGGGAGGUUUGGCACCUCGAUGUCGGCUCAUCGCAUCCUGGGGCGGUAGUACGUCCCAAGGGUUGGGCUGUUCGCCCAUGAAAGCGGUACGCGAGCUGGGUUCAGAACGUCGUGAGACAGUUCGGUCCAUAUCCGGUGUAGGCGUUAGAAUAUUGAGAGGAGCCUUCUUUAGUACGAGAGGACCGAGAAGGACAUACCUCUGGUGUACCAGUUAUCGUGCCAACGGUAAACGCUGGGUAGCUAUGUAUGGAGUGGAUAACCGCUGAAAGCAUCUAAGUGGGAAGCCCACCUCGAGAUAAGUAUUCUCA
Molecule: ribosomal RNA, 1242 nt
Filed under: metagenome
Description: bacterial LSU rRNA
Rfam family: Bacterial large subunit ribosomal RNA
Source: RNAcentral